CCUACGGGAGGCAGCAGUGAGGAAUAUUGGUCAAUGGGCGGGAGCCUGAACCAGCCAAGUCGCGUGAAGGAAGAAGGUACUUAGUAUUGUCAACUUCUUUUGUCGGGGAACAAAGGCGGAGACGCGUCUCCGGAUGAGUGUACCCGAAGAAAAAGCAUCGGCUAACUCCGUGCCAGCAGCCGCGGUAAUACGGAGGAUGCGAGCGUUAUCCGGAUUUAUUGGGUUUAAAGGGUGCGCAGGCGGGAGAUCAAGUCAGCGGUAAAAUGUCGGGGCUCAACCCCGGCCGGCCGUUGAAACUGGUGUUCUUGAGUGAGCGAGAAGUAUGCGGAAUGCGUGGUGUAGCGGUGAAAUGCAUAGAGAUCACGCAGAACACCGAUUGCGAAGGCAGCAUACCGGCGCUCAACUGACGCUCAUGCACGAAAGCGUGGGUAGCGAACAGGAUUAGAUACCCCAGUAGUC
RNAcentral lists this ribosomal RNA (459 nucleotides) under uncultured bacterium. RNAcentral describes it as "partial 16S ribosomal RNA". It matches the Rfam family "Bacterial small subunit ribosomal RNA", at positions 338 to 795 of the family's 1533-position model. The record is from RNAcentral.